This 72-nucleotide transfer RNA is filed under the name Bos taurus (domestic cattle). It matches the Rfam family "tRNA". From Rfam's summary of the family: Transfer RNA (tRNA) molecules are approximately 80 nucleotides in length. Their secondary structure includes four short double-helical elements and three loops (D, anti-codon, and T loops). Further hydrogen bonds mediate the characteristic L-shaped molecular structure. tRNAs have two regions of fundamental functional importance: the anti-codon, which is responsible for specific mRNA codon recognition, and the 3' end, to which the tRNAs corresponding amino acid is attached (by aminoacyl-tRNA synthetases). tRNAs cope with the degeneracy of the genetic code in two manners: having more than one tRNA (with a specific anti-codon) for a particular amino acid; and 'wobble' base-pairing, i.e. permitting non-standard base-pairing at the 3rd anti-codon position. RNAcentral also lists the same sequence under 4 other names. The record is from Rfam by way of RNAcentral. Lineage: Eukaryota; Metazoa; Chordata; Mammalia; Artiodactyla; Bovidae.
UCCCUAAUGGCUCAAAAGGUAAAGAAUCUGCCUGCAAUGCAGCAGACCCAGGUUCUUUACCUGGGUUGGGAA